This 243-nucleotide ribosomal RNA is filed under the name uncultured Actinomycetales bacterium. RNAcentral's name for it is "partial 16S ribosomal RNA". It matches the Rfam family "Bacterial small subunit ribosomal RNA", at positions 88 to 334 of the family's 1533-position model. The record is from RNAcentral. Lineage: Bacteria; Bacillati; Actinomycetota; Actinomycetes; Actinomycetales.
UACUCGAGUGGCGAACGGGUGAGUAACACGUGGGUGAUAUGCCCUGCACUUCGGGAUAAGCUUGGGAAACUGGGUCUAAUACCGGAUAGGAGCCAUCUUUAGUGUGGUGGUUGGAAAGUUUUUUCGGUGUAGGAUGAGCUCGCGGCCUAUCAGCUUGUUGGUGGGGUAAUGGCCUACCAAGGCGGCGACGGGUAGCCGGCCUGAGAGGGUGUACGGCCACAUUGGGACUGAGAUACGGCCCAG